UAAAAAAAGUAUUUGAUCUUCUUUAGAUUUCACUGUUCUUUUUCUCUGGGGAAAGAGGAAGAAGACUCCGUCGUCACCUCUCUGCACUUCUUUCUCCGAUCAAGCUUUGUUUGGCCAAGAAGAAGACGAAGCUCUGCUCGAAUCGUCUCCUCUCUGUGCCUAUUUGUCUCUGGAAAAGAAGAAGAACUCAGUUCCUCCAUGACCUCCCUGUCGAUUUUCUGUUCCUCCACGACCUCCCCCCGUGUACAUGCUCAGCAACCCGUCGAAGGAGUUAUUGCUGGUUGUCGGAGCCUCCACCAGCAAGAACCUCGGCCUCUUCCGCUUCAACGAAGACGACGUCCAAGCCUUGCUCCUCUAGGUUUUCAUGGUCGACCCUCGCCUGCGUGACGGCUCCAAAGUUGUUCCUGUUGCGCUCAACAAGAUCCUCCAAUAGGCACUUAAGAUCUCCAUUACUUAUGCAGUCAGCCAGUAGAAUUCAUCGAGAGUCGCAGCUGCGUUUCCCUCCGAUGCAUGUAAGCGAUUGGAUUUGUCUGCCACAAGGGAAAAAGUGCAUUCUGUUGAGAGUAAUUUUCAGAAACGAGAAGAGAAAAAUGUAGAAUCACUUGUGAAGCUACUAGUUGAUUGUAUCUUGGAAGCCAAAGAAAAUAUUGAUCGAAACUUUGCUGCUUCUCUUCGGAAUGAAAACAUGGAAAGAUAUUAUGACAUAUGACAUUUAUGUUCAAAUGGUCGAGAUUUACAAUGAACAUGUUAGAGACCUACUUACCGAGGACAAAAUAGAUAAUAAAUUAGAGAUUAGGAGCUGCAAUGAUGAUGGAUUGAGUCUUCCUUAUGCUACAUUGUGUCCGGUAGGUGACAUCUACAGCUGAUGUUCUGACCCUUAUGAAACUCAGUGAGGUCAACCGUGCUGUCAGUUUCGCUGCAUUGAACAAUAGGAGUAGUCCUUCCCACAGUGUACUCCCCAUGCAUGUUCACGGAAAAGAUACAUGAAAUUCAUGGAUCCAGGCCGAAUCGCAGAUCUUCGCUAGGAGGGAAGCCGGUACCAUGUAAGUUAAAACCUUUAGAGCUGCCAAUUUUCUAUUAAUAUGUUUUGCAAUUUUAUCAUACUAAGAACAAGGUUAUGUUUAGAUGAGAGAGAGAGAGAAAUGCUAGAACACCUCCUCAAAGCAACCCCAACAGCUCCAAGCCUGCAAUUUAAUAUUCUUUCUUUUUGUUUUCUUUUUUUCUUCUGUGUUUCUUAUAGAAUCAUGGUGGUUUGACAAACAACUUUAUUUAAUUGACGAUAUAUGCUAAAAUUUGUUCUAAGGUAGUCUAUUUAUUGUAUUGCCAUUCUUAUGCUUUCUGUGCAUCUAUGUAUGAGCUGCUAUGAACCUAUGCACUUUUGUGCAUUUAAUGAUUAAUUUCUGGAUCAGUUUUCUUAUGACCUGUAGAUUAACUUCAUCCCUUAAUUUUGUGAUGAAAGAUUUCUUAUGAACCUGAACUUGUGGAAUCAUUAUCCACCUUUUUAAGGUAUCCUUGUUCCACCUUCGGAGUUUUCAGCAAGAAAUAGACUAUUAGGCAGAUGAGUCCAAAGACCAACAUGGCCAGUGAUAGAGAAAGACACAUGAAAAAUGGAUAAAAUUUUGUGAACUUGGUCAGGUGUUUAUGUUUGUGUGAAGAAUCGAUGUUGUUAAUGUAACUAGGGAGGCUCAAGAGGGGGUCACCCAAAUAUGAACUUUUUGUCAAAGGUCACAAAUCCAUUCUGUGGAACUAGACCAGAUAUGAAGGGGUUGUAUGAGAUGUUGAAUGUGAUAAGCUCAACCAAGUUGAACAAACUUGAAGGAAUCGACCCUGAGAAAUUGUUCCAAGACAAAUCAAGAUCCUGAAGAGACUUCAUGUUGCUAAUUUUGCCUGGAAUUUCACCUGAGAAAUUGUUUCUAGAGAUGUUCAAGACUAUACGUGCCAUGUUUGAAAUCACUGAUGGGAACUUCCCAAAGAACUUGUUAUCCCCCAAUUGCAACAUGCUGAAGUUCACCAUGUUACCAAUUUCUGUAGGUACUUCACCACCGAGCUAGUUCCACUUAAUUGAAUAUAACCAUCUAUCUAUGAUGAUUUAGAGGAAUUUGUACCAAAGGCUUCUACAAUUCUUCCUUGUGAGGACAGUAUACACAAACUUGUAUGGAAGAUAAUCAGCAGGUAACCAUCUCCUCAUUGCUGAGCAUCCACUAUUUCCAGAAAUGAUUUUGCCAAUAGUUUUCUUCUAUUCAAUUCAAAUAUGGCCAUUGCAUUUCUUCCAAUUCUAGCCAAUUCUGAGGGCAAGCUUCCAAAGAACUUCUUGUUUGUAAGAUUCAACCAUAACAAGCUAGACCAAUUUUCCAACUCUGGUGGGAUUUCACCGGUUAACAAAUUAUUCGAAAGCAUUAGCUAUAGCAAUGAACUCAUUUUCCAAGCGUUGGAGGGAUUGAGCCAUUGAAAUUGUUGAAGGCAAGAUCAAGUGCUUGAAGGUUGGUCAAAUUUCCAAGUUCAGCUGGAAUUGGUCCACUGAACUUGUUGUAGGUUAAGGUUAAGAAAGUGAGACAUGACAAUUUGAGAGAUUUUAGGAGGUAAUGGACUUGAAAAGUUGUUGAAGCUUAGAUCUAAUCGGCAAAGAUUUGUCAAUGAGAAAAUUCCUGAUGUGAGCAGUCCUCCAGUGUAGGAAUUUGAUUGAAGGAGAAGAAACUUGCUUGAAUUUUCCAAAAAUCACUUGAUCUUUGAUAUUGUAAAAGUAAAACAACUUAGUAUCCUUAUUAAUGUUAUUAAUGAUAAAUACCAAAAUGGGUCUUUAAA
Long non-coding RNA from Arachis ipaensis, 2802 nucleotides. RefSeq lists it as uncharacterized. Lineage: Eukaryota; Viridiplantae; Streptophyta; Magnoliopsida; Fabales; Fabaceae. The record is from RefSeq and is a predicted model, not a curated record.